CGGAAAGCCUGACGCAGCAACGCCGCGUGAGGGAUGACGGCCUUCGGGUUGUAAACCUCUUUCAGCGGGGACGAAGCGAAAGUGACUGUACCCGCAGAAGAAGCGCCGGCUAACUACGUGCCAGCAGCCGCGGUAAUACGUAGGGCGCAAGCGUUGUCCGGAUUUAUUGGGCGUAAAGAGCUCGUAGGCGGCCUGUCGCGUCGGAUGUGAAAACCCGGAACUCAACUCCGGGCCUGCAUUCGAUACGGGCAGGCUUGAGUACUGCAGGGGAGACUGGAAUUCCUGGUGUAGCGGUGGAAUGCGCAGAUAUCAGGAGGAACACCGGUGGCGAAGGCGGGUCUCUGGGCAGAAACUGACGCUGAGGAGCGAAAGCGUGGGGAGCGAACAGGAUUAGAUACCCUGGUAGUCCACGCCGUAAACGGUGGGCACUAGGUGUGGGGACCAUUCCACGGUCUCUGCGCCGCAGCUAACGCAUUAAGUGCCCCGCCUGGGGAGUACGGCCGCAAGGCUA
This 511-nucleotide ribosomal RNA is filed under the name uncultured Actinomycetes bacterium. Its description in RNAcentral is "bacterial SSU rRNA". It matches the Rfam family "Bacterial small subunit ribosomal RNA", at positions 376 to 896 of the family's 1533-position model. The record is from RNAcentral. Lineage: Bacteria; Bacillati; Actinomycetota; Actinomycetes.